Molecule: long non-coding RNA, 809 nt
Organism: Populus trichocarpa (black cottonwood)
Lineage: Eukaryota; Viridiplantae; Streptophyta; Magnoliopsida; Malpighiales; Salicaceae
Exons: 2
Source: RefSeq, a predicted model, not a curated record
AAGAGUCACGGUUAAUAAAAGGGAAAAAAGCAAACAAAAAGCAUGACAAAUGGCACAAACCAAGCGCGGGAAAUAAGAAAACCGAGAGUGAAAAAGCACGCUCCUGCUUAACCCGCUUGUAUACAGCGCCUCUGUCAGAUGAAGCCUGGUUAUGUAAAACAAACACGAAAGAUGAUCAACUUGCAUGCAUAUGGUCGUGGGAUGUUGUAGAUAGGUGGGUGUAGCUAGGAAAACAACAUGUCCUUGACAAAAUGGACAAAUACCCCACAGAGAAAAGAACCUAGCUGCAAUAAUUUUUCUAGCCAUCGGAGGUAACUGGACAGAAGGGCCAUGCCACGUUGACGGCGACAUGAACCAUUUACAAUAAUCGUCCGUGGGAUAUGGAUGGAUUUACCAGCUUGCUGUUGAAGGUAGAGUGGAAGGAAUUUAACCGUACGUGGAAUCCCGGAGAUUAACCGAUAAAGGUAGAGAUGGGAACUUUUGAUGGGAUAUAAACGCAGCAUUUAAGACCUAGCCAACCUCCCCAGCAUUAGCCACAGUCCACACGCCCAGAUCCUGUCAUGGGCAAUUACGUUCUCAGCUCCAGCUUUUAAAAGUUGCACCAAAAAUGUUUUUGAUCAGGAAGAAAGUGAGAAAUCGUCCAGUCUUAACAUUAAAGCAAUCUACACCAACUAGCUAAUUUGUUCUCGAUCGGCAGAUUCGAAUUCACUGCAAAUAUCUGACCACUAUUCCCUCUUAAUAUUUAUGAUUCAUUAGGGAAUGUAAUUAUGUAUGGGCUAUGGCCGAACCCAAAAAAUAAUGGGUCGAAA